UACGUAGGGUGCAAGCGUUAAUCGGAAUUACUGGGCGUAAAGCGUGCGCAGGCGGUUAUGCAAGACAGAGGUGAAAAUCCCCCGGGGCUCAACCGUGGGAACUGCCUUUGUGACUGCAUGGCUAGAGUACGGUAGGAGGGGGAUGGAAUUCCGCGUGUAGCAGUGAAAUGCGUAGAUAUGCCGGAGGAACACCGAUGGCGAACGGCGAAUCCCCCUGGACCUGUA
RNAcentral lists this ribosomal RNA (225 nucleotides) under uncultured bacterium. RNAcentral's name for it is "partial 16S ribosomal RNA". It matches the Rfam family "Bacterial small subunit ribosomal RNA", at positions 524 to 739 of the family's 1533-position model. The record is from RNAcentral.